This 859-nucleotide ribosomal RNA is filed under the name uncultured bacterium. Its description in RNAcentral is "bacterial SSU rRNA". It matches the Rfam family "Bacterial small subunit ribosomal RNA", at positions 596 to 1461 of the family's 1533-position model. The record is from RNAcentral.
GAAAUUUUGCAUCUUAACUGUAAAAGUGCCGUUGAUACUGUGAGGCUAGGAUUUGGUUGCUGUGGGUGGAAUGUGUGGUGUAGCGGUGAAAUGCUUAGAGAUCACACAGAAUAUCGAUUGCGAAGGCAGCUCACAAAGCCAAGAUUGACGCUGAGGCACGAAAGUGUGGGGAUCAAACAGGAUUAGAUACCCUGGUAGUCCACACUGUAAACGAUGAUAACUCGCUGUCGGCGAUAUACAGUCGGUGGCCAAGCGAAAGCGAUAAGUUAUCCACCUGGGGAGUACGACCGCAAGGGUGAAACUCAAAGGAAUUGACGGGGGCCCGCACAAGCGGAGGAACAUGUGGUUUAAUUCGAUGAUACGCGAGGAACCUUACCCGGGCUCGAACGGUGCAGGAAUAUGGUAGAGAUAUCAUAGCUAGCAAUAGUCUGUAUCGAGGUGCUGCAUGGUUGUCGUCAGCUCGUGCCGUGAGGUGUCGGCUUAAGUGCCAUAACGAGCGCAACCCUUGUCAUUAGUUACCAUCAGGUCAAGCUGGGGACUCUAAUGAGACUGCCACCGUAAGGGUGAGAGGAAGGGGGGGGAUGACGUCAAAUCAGCACGGCCCUUAUGUCCGGGGCGACACACGUGUUACAGUGGGGGGUACAGAGGGCAGCCAUCCGGCGACGGGAGCGCCAAUCUCAAAACCCUUCUCAGUUCGGAUUGGAGUCUGCAACCCGACUCCAUGAAAUUGGAUUCGCUAGUAAUCGCGCAUCAGCCAUGGCGCGGUGAAUACGUUCCCGGGUCCUUGUACACACCGCCCGUCAAGCCAUGGAAGGCUUGGGGGUUGCCUGAAGUUCGUGACCGCAAGGAGCGACCUUAG